RNAcentral lists this ribosomal RNA (1372 nucleotides) under uncultured bacterium. RNAcentral describes it as "bacterial SSU rRNA". It matches the Rfam family "Bacterial small subunit ribosomal RNA", at positions 28 to 1381 of the family's 1533-position model. The record is from RNAcentral.
GAUGAACGCUGGCGGCGUGCCUAAUACAUGCAAGUCGAGCGAACGGACGAGAAGCUUGCUUCUCUGAUGUUAGCGGCGGACGGGUGAGUAACACGUGGAUAACCUACCUAUAAGACUGGGAUAACUUCGGGAAACCGGAGCUAAUACCGGAUAAUAUUUUGAACCGCAUGGUUCAAAAGUGAAAGACGGUCUUGCUGUCACUUAUAGAUGGAUCCGCGCUGCAUUAGCUAGUUGGUAAGGUAACGGCUUACCAAGGCAACGAUGCAUAGCCGACCUGAGAGGGUGAUCGGCCACACUGGAACUGAGACACGGUCCAGACUCCUACGGGAGGCAGCAGUAGGGAAUCUUCCGCAAUGGGCGAAAGCCUGACGGAGCAACGCCGCGUGAGUGAUGAAGGUCUUCGGAUCGUAAAACUCUGUUAUUAGGGAAGAACAUAUGUGUAAGUAACUGUGCACAUCUUGACGGUACCUAAUCAGAAAGCCACGGCUAACUACGUGCCAGCAGCCGCGGUAAUACGUAGGUGGCAAGCGUUAUCCGGAAUUAUUGGGCGUAAAGCGCGCGUAGGCGGUUUUUUAAGUCUGAUGUGAAAGCCCACGGCUCAACCGUGGAGGGUCAUUGGAAACUGGAAAACUUGAGUGCAGAAGAGGAAAGUGGAAUUCCAUGUGUAGCGGUGAAAUGCGCAGAGAUAUGGAGGAACACCAGUGGCGAAGGCGACUUUCUGGUCUGUAACUGACGCUGAUGUGCGAAAGCGUGGGGAUCAAACAGGAUUAGAUACCCAGGUAGUCCACGCCGUAAACGAUGAGUGCUAAGUGUUAGGGGGUUUCCGCCCCUUAGUGCUGCAGCUAACGCAUUAAGCACUCCGCCUGGGGAGUACGACCGCAAGGUUGAAACUCAAAGGAAUUGACGGGGACCCGCACAAGCGGUGGAGCAUGUGGUUUAAUUCGAAGCAACGCGAAGAACCUUACCAAAUCUUGACAUCCUUUGACAACUCUAGAGAUAGAGCCUUCCCCUUCGGGGGACAAAGUGACAGGUGGUGCAUGGUUGUCGUCAGCUCGUGUCGUGAGAUGUUGGGUUAAGUCCCGCAACGAGCGCAACCCUUAAGCUUAGUUGCCAUCAUUAAGUUGGGCACUCUAAGCUGACUGCCGGUGACAAACCGGAGGAAGGUGGGGAUGACGUCAAAUCAUCAUGCCCCUUAUGAUUUGGGCUACACACGUGCUACAAUGGACAAUACAAAGGGCAGCGAAACCGCGAGGUCAAGCAAAUCCCAUAAAGUUGUUCUCAGUUCGGAUUGUAGUCUGCAACUCGACUACAUGAAGCUGGAAUCGCUAGUAAUCGUAGAUCAGCAUGCUACGGUGAAUACGUUCCCGGGUCU